UUGACCUCGGAUCAGGUAGGGUACCGCUGAACUUAAGCAUAUCAAUAAGCGGAGGA
RNAcentral lists this ribosomal RNA (56 nucleotides) under Scedosporium boydii. RNAcentral describes it as "partial 26S ribosomal RNA". The record is from RNAcentral. Lineage: Eukaryota; Fungi; Ascomycota; Sordariomycetes; Microascales; Microascaceae.